UUGGAGGGCAAGUCUGGUGCCAGCAGCCGCGGUAAUUCCAGCUCCAAUAGCGUAUAUUAAAGUUGUUGCAGUUAAAAAGCUCGUAGUUGAACCUUGGGUCUGGCUGGCCGGUCCGCCUCACCGCGAGUACUGGUCCGGCUGGACCUUUCCUUCUGGGGAACCCCAUGGCCUUCACUGGCUGUGGGGGGAACCAGGACUUUUACUGUGAAAAAAUUAGAGUGUUCAAAGCAGGCCUUUGCUCGAAUACAUUAGCAUGGAAUAAUAGAAUAGGACGUGCGG
RNAcentral lists this ribosomal RNA (279 nucleotides) under uncultured Ascomycota. RNAcentral describes it as "partial 18S ribosomal RNA". It matches the Rfam family "Eukaryotic small subunit ribosomal RNA", at positions 548 to 834 of the family's 1831-position model. The record is from RNAcentral. Lineage: Eukaryota; Fungi; Ascomycota.